RNAcentral lists this ribosomal RNA (401 nucleotides) under Acalles globulipennis. Its description in RNAcentral is "eukaryotic LSU rRNA". It matches the Rfam family "Eukaryotic large subunit ribosomal RNA", at positions 1346 to 1663 of the family's 3401-position model. The record is from RNAcentral. Lineage: Eukaryota; Metazoa; Arthropoda; Insecta; Coleoptera; Curculionidae.
GAUCGCGCGUUUCGGCGCACGGUCACGAAGCCCUGACGAGUAGGAGGGUCGCGGCGGUGAGCGCAGAAGGGCUGGCCGCGAGGCCGUCUGGAGCCGCCGUCGGUGCAGAUCUUGGUGGUAGUAGCAAAUACUCCAGCGAGGCCCUGGAGGACUGACGUGGAGAAGGGUUUCGUGUGAACAGCCGUUGCACACGAGUCAGUCGAUCCUAAGCCCUAGGCGAAAGCCGAUGUCGAUGCGGUGUGGAUUUAUCAUCUCUUUUUGUUGUUAUACGAGAAAAGCGAAACAAAUUGUUAAUUCGUUUUAACGUAUCGCGAGAGCCGAUCGUCGAACACACCCAUCGGGCGAAAGGGAAUCCGGUUCCUAUUCCGGAACCUGGCAGCGGAACCGUCAAAAAGUCGGGC